GAUGAACGCUGGCGGCGUGCCUAAUACAUGCAAGUCGAGCGAACAGACGAGGAGCUUGCUCCUCUGACGUUAGCGGCGGACGGGUGAGUAACACGUGGAUAACCUACCUAUAAGACUGGGAUAACUUCGGGAAACCGGAGCUAAUACCGGAUAAUAUAUUGAACCGCAUGGUUCAAUAGUGAAAGACGGUUUUGCUGUCACUUAUAGAUGGAUCCGCGCCGCAUUAGCUAGUUGGCAAGGUAACGGCUUACCAAGGCGACGAUGCGUAGCCGACCUGAGAGGGUGAUCGGCCACACUGGAACUGAGACACGGUCCAGACUCCUACGGGAGGCAGCAGUAGGGAAUCUUCCGCAAUGGGCGAAAGCCUGACGGAGCAACGCCGCGUGAGUGAUGAAGGUCUUCGGAUCGUAAAACUCUGUUAUUAGGGAAGAACAAAUGUGUAAGUAACUAUGCACGUCUUGACGGUACCUAGUCAGAAAGCCACGGCUAACUACGUG
This 497-nucleotide ribosomal RNA is filed under the name uncultured bacterium. RNAcentral's name for it is "partial 16S ribosomal RNA". It matches the Rfam family "Bacterial small subunit ribosomal RNA", at positions 28 to 507 of the family's 1533-position model. The record is from RNAcentral.